RNAcentral lists this ribosomal RNA (547 nucleotides) under Hanseniaspora uvarum. Its description in RNAcentral is "eukaryotic LSU rRNA". It matches the Rfam family "Eukaryotic large subunit ribosomal RNA", at positions 87 to 648 of the family's 3401-position model. The record is from RNAcentral. Lineage: Eukaryota; Fungi; Ascomycota; Saccharomycetes; Saccharomycodales; Saccharomycodaceae.
CGGCGAGUGAAGCGGUAAAAGCUCAAAUUUGAAAUCUGGUACUUUCAGUGCCCGAGUUGUAAUUUGUAGAAUUUGUCUUUGAUUAGGUCCUUGUCUAUGUUCCUUGGAACAGGACGUCAUAGAGGGUGAGAAUCCCGUUUGGCGAGGAUACCUUUUCUCUGUAAGACUUUUUCGAAGAGUCGAGUUGUUUGGGAAUGCAGCUCAAAGUGGGUGGUAAAUUCCAUCUAAAGCUAAAUAUUGGCGAGAGACCGAUAGCGAACAAGUACAGUGAUGGAAAGAUGAAAAGAACUUUGAAAAGAGAGUGAAAAAGUACGUGAAAUUGUUGAAAGGGAAGGGCAUUUGAUCAGACAUGGUGUUUUUUGCAUGCACUUGCCUCUCGUGGGCUUGGGCCUCUCAAAAAUUUCACUGGGCCAACAUCAAUUCUGGCAGCAGGAUAAAUCAUUAAGAAUGUAGCUACUUCGGUAGUGUUAUAGCUUUUUGGAAUACUGUUAGCCGGGAUUGAGGACUGCGCUUCGGCAAGGAUGUUGGCAUAAUGGUUAAAUGCCGC